UUUGCAUACUGCUCAGUAACACGUGGAUAACCUGCCCUACACUGGGGGAUAAUCUCGGGAAACUGAGCAUAAUACCCCAUAGACCACUACGCCUGGAACGGUGAGUGGUUGAAAGCUCAGGCGGUGUAGGAUGGGUCUGCGGCGUAUCAGGUCGUAGGGGGUGUAAUGGACCUCCUAGCCAUCGACGCGUACGGGUUGUGGGAGCAAUAGCCCGGAGACGGAUUCUGAGACACGAAUCCGGACCCUACGGGGUGCAGCAGGCGCGAAAACUUCACACUGCAGGAAACUGUGAUGAGGGAACUCCAAGUGACUGCACAAUGUGUAGCCUUUUCUUGAAUCUUAAUAGUUCUUGGAAUAAGGGCUGGGAAAGACCGGUGCCAGCCGCCGCGGUAAUACCGGCAGCUCAAGUGGUCGUCGCUUUUAUUGGACCUAAAACGUCCGUAGCCUGUUUGGUAAAUCUGUGGGUAAAUCAACGAGCUUAACUCGUUGAAUUCUGCAGAGACUGCCAGACUAGGGACCGGGAGAGGUAUGAGGUACUCUGGGGGUAGGGGUAAAAUCCUGUCAUCCUCAGAGGACCACCUGUUGCGAAGGCGUCAUACUGGAACGGAUCCGACGGUCAGGGACGAAGCCUAGGGGCACGAACCGGAUUAGAUACCCGGGUAGUCCUAGGUGUAAACGCUGUGGAUUUUGGUGUGUGGGGUCCGCAAUGGGCCCCAUGUGCCGGAGUGAAGAUGUUAAAUCCACUGCCUGGGGAGUACGGUCGCAAGGCUGAAACUUAAAGGAAUUGGCGGGGGAGCACUGCAACGGGAGGAGCGUGCGGUUUAAUU
RNAcentral lists this ribosomal RNA (827 nucleotides) under uncultured marine euryarchaeote. RNAcentral's name for it is "bacterial SSU rRNA". It matches the Rfam family "Archaeal small subunit ribosomal RNA", at positions 78 to 907 of the family's 1478-position model. The record is from RNAcentral. Lineage: Archaea; Methanobacteriati; Methanobacteriota.